This 262-nucleotide ribosomal RNA is filed under the name uncultured archaeon. RNAcentral's name for it is "partial 16S ribosomal RNA". It matches the Rfam family "Archaeal small subunit ribosomal RNA", at positions 748 to 1008 of the family's 1478-position model. The record is from RNAcentral.
CAGCCGUAAACUAUGCGCGUUAGGUGUAUCGGUGACCACGAGUCACCGAGGUGCCGAAGGGAAACCGUGAAACGUGCCGCCUGGGAAGUACGGUCGCAAGGCUGAAACUUAAAGGAAUUGGCGGGGGAGGCACCACAACAGGUGGAGCCUGCGGUUUAAUUGGACUCAACGCCGGGAAGCUCACCGGAUAGGACAGCAGAAUGAUUGCCGGGCUGAAGACCCUGCAUGACUAGCUGAGAGGUGGUGCAUGGCGUCAGUGACU